GACGAACGCUGGCGGCGUGCUUAACACGUGCAAGUCGAACGGAAAGGCCCUGCUUUUGUGGGGUGCUCGAGUGGCGAACGGGUGAGUAACACGUGAGUAACCUGCCCUUGACUUUGGGAUAACUUCAGGAAACUGGGGCUAAUACCGGAUAGGAGCUCCUGCUGCAUGGUGGUGGUUGGAAAGUUUCGGCGGUUGGGGAUGGACUCGCGGCUUAUCAGCUUGUUGGUGGGGUAGUGGCUUACCAAGGCUUUGACGGGUAGCCGGCCUGAGAGGGUGACCGGCCACAUUGGGACUGAGAUACGGCCCAGACUCCUACGGGAGGCAGCAGUGGGGAAUAUUGCACAAUGGGCGGAAGCCUGAUGCAGCAACGCCGCGUGCGGGAUGACGGCCUUCGGGUUGUAAACCGCUUUCGCCUGUGACGAAGCGUGAGUGACGGUAAUGGGUAAAGAAGCACCGGCUAACUACGUG
RNAcentral lists this ribosomal RNA (468 nucleotides) under uncultured bacterium. RNAcentral describes it as "partial 16S ribosomal RNA". It matches the Rfam family "Bacterial small subunit ribosomal RNA", at positions 28 to 507 of the family's 1533-position model. The record is from RNAcentral.